AAGAUUAGUCUUUCAGUGCUCAUUUCUAUAGUUGUUGAAUUAAAAAAUGUGUUUGUAAAGUGUUUGGUCUCACUAACUCAACGAUGAGUCACAAUAGUCCUUUCGGAGCGUGGAGCGGAUAGAGAGAGCAAUGAUUCAGUUCAUACGCUCUCCUUUCUUGAUGAUCUUUCUUUACUUCUUUAUGGAUCAUUGAGGAAGGGAAUAUAAUCACAGUGGA
Molecule: small nucleolar RNA, 217 nt
Organism: Etheostoma spectabile (orangethroat darter)
Lineage: Eukaryota; Metazoa; Chordata; Actinopteri; Perciformes; Percidae
Product: small nucleolar RNA U3
Exons: 1
Source: RefSeq, a predicted model, not a curated record